UACGUAGGUCCCGAGCGUUGUCCGGAUUUAUUGGGCGUAAAGCGAGCGCAGGUGGUUUAUUAAGUCUGGUGUAAAAGGCAGUGGCUCAACCAUUGUAUGCAUUGGAAACUGGUAGACUUGAGUGCAGGAGAGGAGAGUGGAAUUCCAUGUGUAGGGGUGAAAUGCGUAGAUAUAUGGAGGAACACCGGUGGCGAAAGCGGCUCUCUGGCCUGUAACUGACACUGAGGCUCGAAAGCGUGGGGAGCAAACAGG
Molecule: ribosomal RNA, 252 nt
Filed under: uncultured bacterium
Lineage: Bacteria
Description: partial 16S ribosomal RNA
Rfam family: Bacterial small subunit ribosomal RNA
Source: RNAcentral